RNAcentral lists this ribosomal RNA (854 nucleotides) under Russula sp. VH-2016a. Its description in RNAcentral is "eukaryotic LSU rRNA". It matches the Rfam family "Eukaryotic large subunit ribosomal RNA", at positions 74 to 931 of the family's 3401-position model. Lineage: Eukaryota; Fungi; Basidiomycota; Agaricomycetes; Russulales; Russulaceae. The record is from RNAcentral.
AUUCCCCUAGUAACUGCGAGUGAAGCGGGAAAAGCUCAAAUUUAAAAUCUGGUGGCCUUUGACCAUCCGAGUUGUAAUUUAGAGAAGUGUCUUCCGCGCUGGACCGUGCACAAGUCUCCUGGAAUGGAGCGUCAUAGAGGGUGAGAAUCCCGUCUUUGGCACGGACCCCCAGGGCUUUCGUGAUGCACUCUCAAAGAGUCGAGUUGUUUGGGAAUGCAGCUCAAAAUGGGUGGUGAACUCCAUCUAAAGCUAAAUAUAGGCGAGAGACCGAUAGCGAACAAGUACCGUGAGGGAAAGAUGAAAAGCACUUUGGAAAGAGAGUGAAACAGUACGUGAAAUUGUUGAAAGGGAAACGCUUAAAGUCAGUCACGUCGAUCGAGACUCAGCCUUGCCUUGGCUCGGUGUACUUCUUGCUCGACGGGUCAGCAUCAAUUUUGCCCCUCGGAUAAUGGCAGGAGAAAGGUGGCACCCUUCGUGGGUGUGUUAUAGUCUUCUGUCGGAUGCGGGGGUCAGGAUUGAGGAAACCGUGCAUGCAACCCAUGCUUAGGAUGCUGGCGUAAUGGCUUUAAACGACCCGUCUUGAAACACGGACCAAGGAGUCUAACAUGCCCGCGAGUGUUCGGGUGGAAAACCCGUGCGCGUAAUGAAAGUGAAAGUUGGGACCCCUGUCGUGGGAGGCACCGACGCCCGGACCAGACCUUCUGUGACGGAUCUGCGGUAGAGCGUGCAUGUUGGGACCCGAAAGAUGGUGAACUAUGCCUGAAUAGGGUGAAGCCAGAGGAAACUCUGGUGGAGGCUCGUAGCGAUUCUGACGUGCAAAUCGAUCGUCAAAUUUGGGUAUAGGGGCGAAAGAC